AUUUUUGUCCCUUUCAGUAUUUAGCAUUUACGUGUGGCUUAAUCAGAGGUGGCUUAUCAAACUUGGGGAUAAAAAGUAUUGUCACAGCUGAAGUGUCUUCAAUGCCAGCCUGUAAAUUUCAGGUGAUGAUACAGAAGCUAUAAAACAUACUGAAAUGCAAGGCAAGGCUUCAACAAUGUAAAGAGAUAAAUUAUUCAUGUAUAAAGUAUUUCAAGUA
This is a non-coding RNA of Leptonychotes weddellii (Weddell seal), 217 nucleotides long. The record is from RefSeq and is a predicted model, not a curated record. Lineage: Eukaryota; Metazoa; Chordata; Mammalia; Carnivora; Phocidae.